UAAAAAUAAACCUAAUAAUAAUUUUUUUUUUAAAUAAUUAACUGCUAAAGGAUAUCAUGCUGUCUAUUGAUAACAGUAUCAUUUUUUUAAUUUUCAAUUUUUUUGAGGCCAUUAAAAAAUUUUGCGAUUUUGAAUUCUUUUCUUUAGAUGUUGAUCUAAAUGUUAUCUCCUUGCCAAAUUUUAAGUUAAUACAUCUAGUGGUUAGAGCUGAGAAUUUCCAUUACUUAUACUAUCAAGCAGCACGUGCGCACGCACGCACACGCACACACACACACAUAUCUAUAUAUAUAUAUAUAUAUUACACCAACAGAA
RNAcentral lists this long non-coding RNA (312 nucleotides) under Androctonus crassicauda. The record is from RNAcentral. Lineage: Eukaryota; Metazoa; Arthropoda; Arachnida; Scorpiones; Buthidae.